Molecule: ribosomal RNA, 253 nt
Filed under: uncultured bacterium
Lineage: Bacteria
Description: partial 16S ribosomal RNA
Rfam family: Bacterial small subunit ribosomal RNA
Source: RNAcentral
UACAGAGGGUGCAAGCGUUGUUCGGAAUUAUUGGGCGUAAAGGGCGCGUAGGCGGUGCCACAAGUCACCUGUGAAAUCUCCGGGCUUAACUCGGAGCCUGCAGGCGAAACUGUGGUGCUGGAGUGUGGGAGAGGUGCGUGGAAUUCCCGGUGUAGCGGUGAAAUUCGCAGAUAUCAGGAAGAACACCAAUGGCGAAAGCAGCUUUCUGGGACGGUACUGACGCUGAGACGCGAAAGCGUGGGGAGCGAACAGG